GAGAAGAGUAGAGAGCGAUGAAGGUGGCUGGAAAAGUGGCCGCCGGCGGGCAAACUCCGGUGACCAGAAGGAGUAAAGGAGGAUUAAGCAUGUGGGAGGGAGACUUUUGAAAUGGAGACGUCAUUGGAUUUCAGAUAGGAAGACAAGCGCGGACAUCGUUAGAGGAUUCUGAUCCCUUCUUCGGAUCAAGAAUUUAGCUUCAAAAGGUGGGCUCUUCACCCAAAUGGAGAAGAAUCAAGAAGAAAGAAAAGAGAGGAGAGGAAGA
Pistacia vera is the source of this 265-nucleotide long non-coding RNA. RefSeq lists it as uncharacterized. The record is from RefSeq and is a predicted model, not a curated record. NCBI's taxonomy places the organism in Eukaryota, Viridiplantae, Streptophyta, Magnoliopsida, Sapindales, Anacardiaceae. The transcript is spliced from 3 exons.